GACGAACGCUGGCGGCGUGCUUAACACAUGCAAGUCGAACGCUGAAGGCUCAGCUUGCUGGGCUGGAUGAGUGGCGAACGGGUGAGUAACACGUGAGUAACCUGCCCUCUUCUUUGGGAUAACGGUCGGAAACGGCUGCUAAUACCGGGUAUUCACUGUCCUUCGCAUGGGGGGUGGUGGAAAGGUUUUUUCUGGUGGGGGAUGGGCUCGCGGCCUAUCAGCUUGUUGGUGGGGUGAUGGCUUACCAAGGCUUUGACGGGUAACCGGCCUGAGAGGGUGACCGGUCACAUUGGGACUGAGAUACGGCCCAGACUCCUACGGGAGGCAGCAGUGGGGAAUAUUGCACAAUGGGCGAAAGCCUGAUGCAGCGACGCCGCGUGAGGGAUGAAGGCCUUCGGGUUGUAAACCUCUUUCGCUCAUGGUCAAGCCGCAACUGUGGGUUGUGGUGAGGGU
Molecule: ribosomal RNA, 453 nt
Filed under: Actinomyces sp. oral taxon 181
Lineage: Bacteria; Bacillati; Actinomycetota; Actinomycetes; Actinomycetales; Actinomycetaceae
Description: bacterial SSU rRNA
Rfam family: Bacterial small subunit ribosomal RNA
Source: RNAcentral